RNAcentral lists this ribosomal RNA (2919 nucleotides) under Staphylococcus aureus. RNAcentral's name for it is "23S ribosomal RNA". It matches the Rfam family "Bacterial large subunit ribosomal RNA". Lineage: Bacteria; Bacillati; Bacillota; Bacilli; Caryophanales; Staphylococcaceae. The record is from RNAcentral.
UUAAGUUAUUAAGGGCGCACGGUGGAUGCCUUGGCACUAGAAGCCGAUGAAGGACGUUACUAACGACGAUAUGCUUUGGGGAGCUGUAAGUAAGCUUUGAUCCAGAGAUUUCCGAAUGGGGAAACCCAGCAUGAGUUAUGUCAUGUUAUCGAUAUGUGAAUACAUAGCAUAUCAGAAGGCACACCCGGAGAACUGAAACAUCUUAGUACCCGGAGGAAGAGAAAGAAAAUUCGAUUCCCUUAGUAGCGGCGAGCGAAACGGGAAGAGCCCAAACCAAAAAGCUUGCUUGUUGGGGUUGUAGGACACUCUAUACGGAGUUACAAAGGACGACAUUAGACGAAUCAUCUGGAAAGAUGAAUCAAAGAAGGUAAUAAUCCUGUAGUCGAAAAUGUUGUCUCUCUUGAGUGGAUCCUGAGUACGACGGAGCACGUGAAAUUCCGUCGGAAUCUGGGAGGACCAUCUCCUAAGGCUAAAUACUCUCUAGUGACCGAUAGUGAACCAGUACCGUGAGGGAAAGGUGAAAAGCACCCCGGAAGGGGAGUGAAAUAGAACCUGAAACCGUGUGCUUACAAGUAGUCAGAGCCCGUUAAUGGGUGAUGGCGUGCCUUUUGUAGAAUGAACCGGCGAGUUACGAUUUGAUGCAAGGUUAAGCAGUAAAUGUGGAGCCGUAGCGAAAGCGAGUCUGAAUAGGGCGUUUAGUAUUUGGUCGUAGACCCGAAACCAGGUGAUCUACCCUUGGUCAGGUUGAAGUUCAGGUAACACUGAAUGGAGGACCGAACCGACUUACGUUGAAAAGUGAGCGGAUGAACUGAGGGUAGCGGAGAAAUUCCAAUCGAACCUGGAGAUAGCUGGUUCUCUCCGAAAUAGCUUUAGGGCUAGCCUCAAGUGAUGAUUAUUGGAGGUAGAGCACUGUUUGGACGAGGGGCCCCUCUCGGGUUACCGAAUUCAGACAAACUCCGAAUGCCAAUUAAUUUAACUUGGGAGUCAGAACAUGGGUGAUAAGGUCCGUGUUCGAAAGGGAAACAGCCCAGACCACCAGCUAAGGUCCCAAAAUAUAUGUUAAGUGGAAAAGGAUGUGGCGUUGCCCAGACAACUAGGAUGUUGGCUUAGAAGCAGCCAUCAUUUAAAGAGUGCGUAAUAGCUCACUAGUCGAGUGACACUGCGCCGAAAAUGUACCGGGGCUAAACAUAUUACCGAAGCUGUGGAUUGUCCUUUGGACAAUGGUAGGAGAGCGUUCUAAGGGCGUUGAAGCAUGAUCGUAAGGACAUGUGGAGCGCUUAGAAGUGAGAAUGCCGGUGUGAGUAGCGAAAGACGGGUGAGAAUCCCGUCCACCGAUUGACUAAGGUUUCCAGAGGAAGGCUCGUCCGCUCUGGGUUAGUCGGGUCCUAAGCUGAGGCCGACAGGCGUAGGCGAUGGAUAACAGGUUGAUAUUCCUGUACCACCUAUAAUCGUUUUAAUCGAUGGGGGGACGCAGUAGGAUAGGCGAAGCGUGCGAUUGGAUUGCACGUCUAAGCAGUAAGGCUGAGUAUUAGGCAAAUCCGGUACUCGUUAAGGCUGAGCUGUGAUGGGGAGAAGACAUUGAGUCUUCGAGUCGUUGAUUUCACACUGCCGAGAAAAGCCUCUAGAUAGAAAAUAGGUGCCCGUACCGCAAACCGACACAGGUAGUCAAGAUGAGAAUUCUAAGGUGAGCGAGCGAACUCUCGUUAAGGAACUCGGCAAAAUGACCCCGUAACUUCGGGAGAAGGGGUGCUCUUUAGGGUUAACGCCCAGAAGAGCCGCAGUGAAUAGGCCCAAGCGACUGUUUAUCAAAAACACAGGUCUCUGCUAAACCGUAAGGUGAUGUAUAGGGGCUGACGCCUGCCCGGUGCUGGAAGGUUAAGAGGAGUGGUUAGCUUCUGCGAAGCUACGAAUCGAAGCCCCAGUAAACGGCGGCCGUAACUAUAACGGUCCUAAGGUAGCGAAAUUCCUUGUCGGGUAAGUUCCGACCCGCACGAAAGGCGUAACGAUUUGGGCACUGUCUCAACGAGAGACUCGGUGAAAUCAUAGUACCUGUGAAGAUGCAGGUUACCCGCGACAGGACGGAAAGACCCCGUGGAGCUUUACUGUAGCCUGAUAUUGAAAUUCGGCACAGCUUGUACAGGAUAGGUAGGAGCCUUUGAAACGUGAGCGCUAGCUUACGUGGAGGCGCUGGUGGGAUACUACCCUAGCUGUGUUGGCUUUCUAACCCGCACCACUUAUCGUGGUGGGAGACAGUGUCAGGCGGGCAGUUUGACUGGGGCGGUCGCCUCCUAAAAGGUAACGGAGGCGCUCAAAGGUUCCCUCAGAAUGGUUGGAAAUCAUUCAUAGAGUGUAAAGGCAUAAGGGAGCUUGACUGCGAGACCUACAAGUCGAGCAGGGUCGAAAGACGGACUUAGUGAUCCGGUGGUUCCGCAUGGAAGGGCCAUCGCUCAACGGAUAAAAGCUACCCCGGGGAUAACAGGCUUAUCUCCCCCAAGAGUUCACAUCGACGGGGAGGUUUGGCACCUCGAUGUCGGCUCAUCGCAUCCUGGGGCUGUAGUCGGUCCCAAGGGUUGGGCUGUUCGCCCAUUAAAGCGGUACGCGAGCUGGGUUCAGAACGUCGUGAGACAGUUCGGUCCCUAUCCGUCGUGGGCGUAGGAAAUUUGAGAGGAGCUGUCCUUAGUACGAGAGGACCGGGAUGGACAUACCUCUGGUGUACCAGUUGUCGUGCCAACGGCAUAGCUGGGUAGCUAUGUGUGGACGGGAUAAGUGCUGAAAGCAUCUAAGCAUGAAGCCCCCCUCAAGAUGAGAUUUCCCAACUUCGGUUAUAAGAUCCCUCAAAGAUGAUGAGGUUAAUAGGUUCGAGGUGGAAGCAUGGUGACAUGUGGAGCUGACGAAUACUAAUCGAUCGAAGACUUAAUC